UGGGGAAUAUUGGACAAUGGGCGCAAGCCUGAUCCAGCCAUGCCGCGUGAGUGAUGAAGGCCUUAGGGUUGUAAAGCUCUUUCGCCGGUGAAGAUAAUGACGGUAACCGGAGAAGAAGCCCCGGCUAACUUCGUGCCAGCAGCCGCGGUAAUACGAAGGGGGCUAGCGUUGCUCGGAAUCACUGGGCGUAAAGCGCGACGUAGGCGGAUCGUUAAGUCAGGGGUGAAAUCCUGGAGCUCAACUCCAGAACUGCCCUUGAUACUGGCGAUCUCGAGUUCGAGAGAGGUUGGUGGAAACUCCGAGUGUAGAGGUGAAAUUCGUAGAUAUUCGGAAGAACACCAGUGGCGAAGGCGGCCAACUGGCUCGAUACUGACGCUGAGGUGCGAAAGCGUGGGGAGCAAAACAGGAUUAGAUACCCUGGUAGUCCACGCCGUAAAACGAUGGAUGCUAGCCGUUGGGGGGUUUACCUCUCAGUGGCGCAGCUAACGCCUUAAGCAUCCCGCCUGGGGAGUACGGUCGCAAGAUUAAAAACUUAAAGGAAUUGACGGGGUCAUAGCUGUUUUCCU
This 566-nucleotide ribosomal RNA is filed under the name uncultured bacterium. RNAcentral's name for it is "partial 16S ribosomal RNA". It matches the Rfam family "Bacterial small subunit ribosomal RNA", at positions 355 to 1375 of the family's 1533-position model. The record is from RNAcentral.